GUUUUAGCUCAGUGGUCGAACGUUGGCUUUGGAAGCCACAGGUCGGUGGUUCGAACCCACCAGGGCACA
RNAcentral lists this transfer RNA (69 nucleotides) under Phytophthora infestans (potato late blight agent). It matches the Rfam family "tRNA". Rfam says of the family: Transfer RNA (tRNA) molecules are approximately 80 nucleotides in length. Their secondary structure includes four short double-helical elements and three loops (D, anti-codon, and T loops). RNAcentral also lists the same sequence under 1 other name. Lineage: Eukaryota; Oomycota; Peronosporomycetes; Peronosporales; Peronosporaceae. The record is from Rfam by way of RNAcentral.